AUGUGUUGUUGGGUAGGGGAGCGUUCUGUAAGCCUGUGAAGGUGUGCUGUGAGGCAUGCUGGAGGUAUCAGAAGUGCGAAUGCUGACAUAAGUAACGAUAAAGCGGGUGAAAAGCCCGCUCGCCGGAAGACCAAGGGUUCCUGUCCAACGUUAAUCGGGGCAGGGUGAGUCGACCCCUAAGGCGAGGCCGAAAGGCGUAGUCGAUGGGAAACAGGUUAAUAUUCCUGUACUUGGUGUUACUGCGAAGGGGGGACGGAGAAGGCUAUGUUGGCCGGGCGACGGUUGUCCCGGUUUAAGCGUGUAGGCUGGUUUUCCAGGCAAAUCCGGAAAAUCAAGGCUGAGGCGUGAUGACGAGGCACUACGGUGCUGAAGCAACAAAUGCCCUGCUUCCAGGAAAAGCCUCUAAGCAUCAGGUAACAUCAAAUCGUACCCCAAACCGACACAGGUGGUCAGGUAGAGAAUACCAAGGCGCUUGAGAGAACUCGGGUGAAGGAACUAGGCAAAAUGGUGCCGUAACUUCGGGAGAAGGCACGCUGAUAUGUAGGUGAAGUCCCUCGCGGAUGGAGCUGAAAUCAGUCGAAGAUACCAGCUGGCUGCAACUGUUUAUUAAAAACACAGCACUGUGCAAACACGAAAGUGGACGUAUACGGUGUGACGCCUGCCCGGUGCCGGAAGGUUAAUUGAUGGGGUUAGCCGCAAGGCGAAGCUCUUGAUCGAAGCCCCGGUAAACGGCGGCCGUAACUAUAACGGUCCUAAGGUAGCGAAAUUCCUUGUCGGGUAAGUUCCGACCUGCACGAAUGGCGUAAUGAUGGCCAGGCUGUCUCCACCCGAGACUCAGUGAAAUUGAACUCGCUGUGAAGAUGCAGUGUACCCGCGGCAAGACGGAAAGACCCCGUGAACCUUUACUAUAGCUUGACACUGAACAUUGAGCCUUGAUGUGUAGGAUAGGUGGGAGGCUUAGAAGUGUGGACGCCAGUCUGCAUGGAGCCGACCUUGAAAUACCACCCUUUAAUGUUUGAUGUUCUAACGUUGACCCGUAAUCCGGGUUGCGGACAGUGUCUGGUGGGUAGUUUGACUGGGGCGGUCUCCUCCUAAAGAGUAACGGAGGAGCACGAAGGUUGGCUAAUCCUGGUCGGACAUCAGGAGGUUAGUGCAAUGGCAUAAGCCAGCUUGACUGCGAGCGUGACGGCGCGAGCAGGUGCGAAAGCAGGUCAUAGUGAUCCGGUGGUUCUGAAUGGAAGGGCCAUCGCUCAACGGAUAAAAGGUACUCCGGGGAUAACAGGCUGAUACCGCCCAAGAGUUCAUAUCGACGGCGGUGUUUGGCACCUCGAUGUCGGCUCAUCACAUCCUGGGGCUGAAGUAGGUCCCAAGGGUAUGGCUGUUCGCCAUUUAAAGUGGUACGCGAGCUGGGUUUAGAACGUCGUGAGACAGUUCGGUCCCUAUCUGCCGUGGGCGCUGGAGAACUGAGGGGGGCUGCUCCUAGUACGAGAGGACCGGAGUGGACGCAUCACUGGUGUUCGGGUUGUCAUGCCAAUGGCACUGCCCGGUAGCUAAAUGCGGAAGAGAUAAGUGCUGAAAGCAUCUAAGCACGAAACUUGCCCCGAGAUGAGUUCUCCCUGACUCCUUGAGAGUCCUGAAGGAACGUUGAAGACGACGACGUUGAUAGGCCGGGUGUGUAAGCGCAGCGAUGCGUUGAGCUAACCGGUACUAAUGAACCGUGAGGCUUAACCUUACAACGCCGAAG
RNAcentral lists this ribosomal RNA (1744 nucleotides) under Escherichia coli. RNAcentral describes it as "partial 23S ribosomal RNA". It matches the Rfam family "Bacterial large subunit ribosomal RNA", at positions 1216 to 2925 of the family's 2925-position model. The record is from RNAcentral. Lineage: Bacteria; Pseudomonadati; Pseudomonadota; Gammaproteobacteria; Enterobacterales; Enterobacteriaceae.